GACAGCUUGGCCGAGCGGUUAAGGCGGCAGAUUUAAGCUCUGCUCUCGAAAGAGUCGUGAGUUCGAACCUCACAGCUGUCA
This 81-nucleotide transfer RNA is filed under the name Gaeumannomyces tritici R3-111a-1. Its description in RNAcentral is "tRNA-Leu (TAA) (tRNA-Leu-TAA-1-1)". It matches the Rfam family "tRNA". Rfam says of the family: Transfer RNA (tRNA) molecules are approximately 80 nucleotides in length. Their secondary structure includes four short double-helical elements and three loops (D, anti-codon, and T loops). Further hydrogen bonds mediate the characteristic L-shaped molecular structure. tRNAs have two regions of fundamental functional importance: the anti-codon, which is responsible for specific mRNA codon recognition, and the 3' end, to which the tRNAs corresponding amino acid is attached (by aminoacyl-tRNA synthetases). tRNAs cope with the degeneracy of the genetic code in two manners: having more than one tRNA (with a specific anti-codon) for a particular amino acid; and 'wobble' base-pairing, i.e. permitting non-standard base-pairing at the 3rd anti-codon position. The record is from RNAcentral. RNAcentral also lists the same sequence under 1 other name. Lineage: Eukaryota; Fungi; Ascomycota; Sordariomycetes; Magnaporthales; Magnaporthaceae.